GUAUACGGGAGAUGCAAGCGUUAUCCGGAAUCACUGGGCGUAAAGCGUCUGUAGGUGGUUUGUUAAGUCUGUUGUUAAAAACUGAAGCUCAACUUCAGGGGUGCGGCAGAAACUGGCAAACUUGAGUGUGGUAGGGGUAGGAGGAAUUUCUAGUGUAGCGGUGAAAUGCGUAGAUAUUAGGAAGAACACCAUUAGCGAAGGCGUCCUACUGGGCCAUAACUGACACUCAGAGACGAAAGCUAGGGGAGCAAACGGGAUUAGAUACCCCGGUAGUCCUAGCCGUAAACGAUGGAUACUAGGUGUCGCGGGUUUACCUGCGGUGUCGUAGCUAACGCGUUAAGUAUCCCGCCUGGGAAGUACGCACGCAAGUGUGAAACUCAAAGGAAUUGACGGGGGCCCGCACAAGCGGUGGAGCAUGUGGUUUAAUUCUGAUGCAACGCGAAGAACCUUACCAGGAUUUGACAUACUAGGAAUUUCCUUUAAUCGGGAAAGUGCCCUCGGGAACCUAGAUACAGGUGGUGCAUGGCUGUCGUCAGCUCGUGUCGUGAGAUGUUGGGUUAAGUCCCGCAACGAGCGCAACCCUUGUCUUUAUUUGCCAUUCUUAAGUGGGGGACUAUAAAGAGACUGCCCGUGAAAAGCGGGAGGAAGGUGAGGAUGACGUCAAGUCAGCAUGCCCCUUAUAUCCUGGGCUACACACGUGUUACAAUGGUUAGGACAAUGAGAAGCCAGCUUGCGAAAGUUAGCAAAUCU
This 750-nucleotide ribosomal RNA is filed under the name Diacronema lutheri. Its description in RNAcentral is "bacterial SSU rRNA". It matches the Rfam family "Bacterial small subunit ribosomal RNA", at positions 521 to 1274 of the family's 1533-position model. The record is from RNAcentral. Lineage: Eukaryota; Haptophyta; Pavlovophyceae; Pavlovales; Pavlovaceae.